UGGAUACUUGCGUGGCUCCAGGGACUUGCUCACAAGCUGUAGAUGAGCCAACAGUGUGAUGUGGCUGGAGAUUGCUAUCUCCUGUAACAGUAGUUUCUUUCUGACAUAGGGCAUUUGAAAAGAGAUUGUCUCCAAAUUCUGUUCUGGGCAUUUCCCUCCAAGAUUCCUUCCAAACAUUUCUUACAGAAGUUCUGUGAACAGGGUAGUGCUCGUGGAUCAUCAAAUAAACUGCAGCAGAUGGGGCAUGUAAGAUCUUCAAGAAGCUCCAUUGUGGCCGAUGUACAGUCUGGAAGCCUGCAGUCCUAACUCAGCAGCCUAGGUCAGACAGGUGCCCAUGUUCCCUACAGGGGAUCCCGGGCCUUGGAGGAAGCGGGAAGAAGAGUGAGAGGGAAGGCUGCUAGCCCUGCUGCCAUUUGGCUUCCUUUCCCACACGGGGAAUAGAUAUUAGAAUAUCAGAGUCACUACAUUUUGUGGUUACUUGCUGAAUUUAAAUGCUGUCUAAGUAUUUGACAAAAUAACUUCCACACAACUGUCUUCUUUCAGCUAAAGCCCAUAAUACUCCAGUGUUGGUGAUCCAGUGAACAGAAUGGUUAGAAUGACAAGGGGAAACAAAUGUGUAUUAGAUCCCAUGUGUAACCAGUUCUGUUCAACCUAGCUACCUUAUAUAAUGCAUGGGAGAAUGUCAGUAAAUAAAUUAACUAAUUAAUUAAUGCUCAAUAUUGGAAAUCCUAUUUUUCCAUCUUGGUUGCACCUGCUCCACAUAAGCUAACAGUUCUAGUUAAUGAAGAAGCAUUUACACUUUAGCCUUCAGUGGGAGAUAAAUGAGCCCUUGGAUUGCAUCUAUACUGAUUGCUACUUGUGUUCUUUAGAAGCUGCAUUGGAGGUGUGGUACCUUUAUGCUUCAGGCGAAAGAAAUUCAACUGAAACAUCUAUAUUCUUUAUCUGGUGACACGUGAGGAUGUCCAAGCACAAAGCUUGCAAAUUUGAAGGAAACAAAACAAAGAGCAGGUGGGACAAAGAAGGAGAGGCGCUGGGCAAGAAGCAACAGAAAUAUCAUGAGAAAGGUGAAAAUGGAAAAUGUCUGUCGACCCACACGAUUCCUGCUUGGCCACCACCCCCCAUGAUGGAAAUUCGGGCCUCCUGCAGACCCUCCGCAGUUCUUCCAAGGCUUGAAGUCUUUCUUUUACCCUGCUCCUGAAAUUCUUCUUCCGUGAGAUGGCAGAUUUGGAUCUUUUCAGUUCUGAAAAAACUAAUGGCUUUCCUAGGUAGGAAGGAAAAAAGGAAGGAAAACUGAAGAAUAAAGGGAAAGGGAAGAAUACUGGCA
RNAcentral lists this long non-coding RNA (1324 nucleotides) under Pogona vitticeps (central bearded dragon). RNAcentral's name for it is "lncRNA (ENSPVIG00000017695.1)". The record is from RNAcentral. Lineage: Eukaryota; Metazoa; Chordata; Lepidosauria; Squamata; Agamidae.